This 581-nucleotide long non-coding RNA is filed under the name Cyanistes caeruleus (blue tit). Its description in RNAcentral is "lncRNA (ENSCCEG00000018219.1)". The record is from RNAcentral. Lineage: Eukaryota; Metazoa; Chordata; Aves; Passeriformes; Paridae.
AUUUCAUCCAGUUGUCUCUGCUUUGUAUUUCUCUUCUUACUCCACCAGAAGUCCGAGUCUUUCCUCUCUGUGCAGAGCAGCACUUUGGGAACAAAGUGAUACAACCCUGAGCCAGAAAUGCCCCUCUCUUUCUUCCAAGUGGGUGUGCAAAAAGACAUCAGCACUGUCCAGUUUUUAGAUCUCUGUCUUAUUUAUGUGUUAUAAUAUUAAAAUACGGCAGGAUAACCUUUUUCCAUAGAUAAACAUAGCUUUUGGACACCAAAUGAAGCACAAGGUUUGGAAACCUGCCUCCUUUCUCCUUGUAGGAUACCUCCUUCCCUCAAUCCUGGCUUUUCCAUCCUGUGGUUUUCAGUGGCUUCUUGGGCUGAGAAAGUCCAUGAAACUUAUGCUGGUCCUUGAAGAAACCUGCUGCUCCCUGGGUUCCCACAGCUCAGGGGCAAUGUGAAAGAAGUAAAGGAGGAAAUUCAAGUGCAAGAAGCAGAAGAAGGAUGAAACAGGAGAGGGUUUUCUUUUCAGAAAAAUGAAAAUGGAAAAAAUCUAACAAAUCUUUUUAUGGGAAGCUGAGUAAGUAAACAUUGUUU